Molecule: long non-coding RNA, 2012 nt
Organism: Neogobius melanostomus (round goby)
Lineage: Eukaryota; Metazoa; Chordata; Actinopteri; Gobiiformes; Gobiidae
Source: Ensembl
AGAUGUGUGGGGGCGCCGAGUAACCCAUAAAAUCAACGCCAUGUGAGUUGCCAGCAAUACCCUGUUCUCCAGUCCAGCAGUGAUUAUAAGCGGUGGGUAGGGGGCGCUAUCCCACUGGACUGGAGAUGUUCGAGGCCAAACAUCGAGCGGUGGAGAAGAAGGAGUCAAGCACAGAGACGGAUGAGGGCCUGGGCAGCAGCAGUAAACACUUCGGCUCCGGGUCGCUGGGCUCCGGUUCGGGCGGGUCAGUUUACCUCUCCGACAGCCAGGACUGGGUGGUGUCUCCGAGCUGCUCCCCCGACGAGGGCCCGGCCCCCCACAGCGCCAUCUCCCCCAUGCUGGCAGAGGAGACCUUUCGCUACAUGAUCCUCAGCGCUGACCGAGUGGAGCAGAUGACCAAGACCUACAAUGACAUCGAAGUGGUCACUCACCUUCUGGCAGAGAGGGACAGAGAUUUGGAGUUGGCGGCUCGGAUCGGUCAGUCUCUUCUACAGAGGAAUCAUAUUCUGCAAGAACGCAACGAGGCCAUAGAGGAGCAGCUCGCACAAGCUCUAGACCAGGUCCAUCAGCUGCAGCAUGAGCUGGGGAAGAAGGAUGAGUUGUUGCGGAUGGUUGCGAGCGCGUCUGAGGAGAGCGAGACCGACUCCAGCGUCUCAACGCCGCUACGGCAGAACCAGCCUCUGGCAGCGAUCUCCACGGCAACGGCAGCUCUCAGCCAACUGGAACAUCUGCAGAACAAACUCCAGGAUCUGGAGGAGGAGAACCUGGCUUUAAGAUCUGAGGCAUGUCAAUUGAAGAGGGACACCGUAAGCUACGAGGAGAAGGAACAACAGCUGGUCAUCGACUGUGUCAAAGAGCUCCGAGAGUCCAACACGCAGAUGGUGACUUUGACAGAGGAACUGUCCAAAAAAAACGAAGAGCUUGUAAGACACCAAGAAGAAAUCGCCCAACUCCUGUCUCAAAUCGUAGAGCUGCAACACAGAGUCAAAGAGCUUGCGUUAGAGAAGGAAGAGCUAAGGAUCCACCUACAGGCCUCCAAAGACGCCCAGAGACAGCUGACAGCGGAGCUCAAUGAAGUGACGGAGAGGAACGCGGAGUGUGCGGAGAUGCUCCACGAGUCGCUGCAGGAAAUCAAAGAGCUCCGGAACAAAAACACACCGUUCUGUGGGAUGAGGCGGCACAUGUCCUACGGCCUGUACCCCAUGGACUCGUUGGCUGCAGAAAUCGAAGGCACCAUGAGAAGAGAGCUCAGUAUAGAUGAAGAAACUAAGCGAGUUUUCCAGACCGUUCGCUCCUUAAACGCAGCAGCAUCAAACCGAGCCCCUUCAGCCGUUCCUCCCAUCCCCGGGUCCGGAUGCAGCUCUCUGGUGAUGACCUCGCAGCCUUUCCCCUCCAAUCAGGGAGAUGAAGUGAAAAUCGGGCAGCCUGGUUGUCCCGGUGGGAACGAUCUGACCAAAGCGCUGCACAGGCUGUCUUUGAGGAGGCAGAACUUCCUGUGCGAGAGGCAGUUCUUUCAGGCCGAGCGGGAUAAGAAGCUCCAGGCGCAGACGGCAGAGGGCGACGGAGAGGCGAGCGGCUGCGGUUCACCGAUGGGCAGCGUCAUGUCGUCUUACUCAAACCUCUCGGAGCUCUCCUACGGGUCCAGCGUGUUCAAGACCUUCCUCCCUGAGAAACUGCAGAUAGUCAAGCCCAUGGAAGGCUCAUUGACGCUCCACCACUGGCAGCAGCUCGCACAGCCCCACCUGGCGUCCAUCUUGGAUCCCCAUCCCGGAGUGGUCACCAAGGGUUUCCGUCCUCUGGCCCAGGACGCGGCGCACCAGCUCUCCGACAUGGAGGAGGAGGAAAACGGCGCGGGAGGAGCUCGAGCGCCAGUUGGAGAAAUGUUUGAUAAAUGUCUUUUCUCCGCAGUGCAAAACCCUGGAAAGUGUCAGAGCUCCACUUUCUCCACCUACACCUUCACCACCUGUCGCAUCCUGCACCCGAGUGACAUCACACAAGUCACGGCGAGGUAA